This is a non-coding RNA of Camponotus floridanus (Florida carpenter ant), 46 nucleotides long. Lineage: Eukaryota; Metazoa; Arthropoda; Insecta; Hymenoptera; Formicidae. The record is from Rfam.
UAAUUCGCUCUUUUCAGAGCGACCAACAUUCUUAAACGUGGAAUCU